AGAGUUUGAUCCUGGCUCAGGACGAACGCUGGCGGCGUGCUUAACACAUGCAAGUCGAACGGAGCACCUUCGAAAGAGACUUCGGUCAAUGGAAAAGAAUGCUUAGUGGCGGACGGGUGAGUAACGCGUGAGGAACCUGCCUUUCAGUGGGGGACAACAGUUGGAAACGACUGCUAAUACCGCAUAACGUACGGGUAUCGCAUGGUAUCUGUACCAAAGAUUUAUCGCUGAGAGAUGGCCUCGCGUCUGAUUAGCUAGUUGGUAGGGUAACGGCCUACCAAGGCGACGAUCAGUAGCCGGACUGAGAGGUUGGCCGGCCACAUUGGGACUGAGAUACGGCCCAGACUCCUACGGGAGGCAGCAGUGGGGAAUAUUGGGCAAUGGGCGAAAGCCUGACCCAGCAACGCCGCGUGAAGGAAGAAGGCUUUCGGGUUGUAAACUUCUUUUGACAGGGAAGAGCAGAAGACGGUACCUGUCGAAUAAGCCACGGCUAACUACGUG
Molecule: ribosomal RNA, 501 nt
Filed under: uncultured Oscillibacter sp.
Lineage: Bacteria; Bacillati; Bacillota; Clostridia; Eubacteriales; Oscillospiraceae
Description: bacterial SSU rRNA
Rfam family: Bacterial small subunit ribosomal RNA
Source: RNAcentral